RNAcentral lists this ribosomal RNA (492 nucleotides) under uncultured bacterium. RNAcentral describes it as "partial 16S ribosomal RNA". It matches the Rfam family "Bacterial small subunit ribosomal RNA", at positions 29 to 507 of the family's 1533-position model. The record is from RNAcentral.
AGUGAACGCUGGCGGUAGGCCUAACACAUGCCAGUCGAACGGCAGCACAGUAAGAGCUUGCUCUUACGGGUGGCGAGUGGCGGACGGGUGAGGAAUACAUCGGAAUCUACUUUUUCGUGGGGGAUAACGUAGGGAAACUUACGCUAAUACCGCAUACGACCUACGGGUGAAAGCAGGGGAUCUUCGGACCUUGCGCGAGUGAAUGAGCCGAUGUCGGAUUAGCUAGUUGGCGGGGUAAAGGCCCACCAAGGCGACGAUCCGUAGCUGGUCUGAGAGGAUGAUCGGCCAACCUGGAACUGAGACACGGUCCAGACUCCUACGGGAGGCAGCAGUGGGGAAUAUUGGACAAUGGGCGCAAGCCUGAUCCAGCCAUACCGCGUGGGUGAAGAAGGCCUUCGGGUUGUAAAGCCCUUUUGUUGGGAAAGAAAAGCAGCAGGUUAAUACCCCGCUGUUCUGACGGUACCCAAAGAAUAAGCACCGGCUAACUUCGUG